Long non-coding RNA from Sapajus apella (tufted capuchin), 187 nucleotides. RefSeq lists it as uncharacterized. The record is from RefSeq and is a predicted model, not a curated record. The transcript has 3 exons. NCBI's taxonomy places the organism in Eukaryota, Metazoa, Chordata, Mammalia, Primates, Cebidae.
ACAAAAUUUUAACUAUUCUUGGCUACAAGUCUUCAAAAAAAUGUUUUCAAUUAUUGCCUUCUUCCCAGCCGCCCGUUUUUCCUAUUUUGGAAUCACUGAAAACUAAGCUAUUCUUUCUUAAAGCCCUGUAAACUGAAGCUAGACAAUUUAAAAUUCAGAAGAAAAUAACAACCUUUUUAUAUACAUA